RNAcentral lists this ribosomal RNA (422 nucleotides) under uncultured archaeon. Its description in RNAcentral is "partial 16S ribosomal RNA". It matches the Rfam family "Archaeal small subunit ribosomal RNA", at positions 323 to 746 of the family's 1478-position model. The record is from RNAcentral.
CUACGGGUGACAGCAGGCGAGAAAACUUUGCAAUGUGCGCAAGCACGACAAGGUUAAUCCGAGUGGUUUCUGCUAAAGGAACCUUUUGACAGUCCUAGAAACACUGUUGAAUAAGGGGUGGGCAAGUUCUGGUGUCAGCCGCCGCGGUAAAACCAGCACCUCAAGUGGUCAGGAUGAUUAUUGGGCCUAAAGCAUCCGUAGCCGGCUCUGUAAGUUUUCGGUUAAAUCUGUACGCUUAACGUACAGGCUGCCGGGAAUACUGCAGAGCUAGGGAGUGGGAGAGGUAGACGGUACUCGGUAGGAAGGGGUAAAAUCCUUUGAUCUAUUGAUGACCACCAGUGGCGAAGGCGGUCUACCAGAACACGUCCGACGGUGAGGGAUGAAAGCUGGGGGAGCAAACCGGAUUAGAUACCCGGGUAGUC